Molecule: transfer RNA, 74 nt
Filed under: Methanomassiliicoccaceae archaeon DOK
Lineage: Archaea; Methanobacteriati; Thermoplasmatota; Thermoplasmata; Methanomassiliicoccales; Methanomassiliicoccaceae
Also listed under: 3 other names
Rfam family: tRNA
About the family: Transfer RNA (tRNA) molecules are approximately 80 nucleotides in length.
Source: Rfam by way of RNAcentral
GGGCUCUUAGCUUAGCUAGGUAGAGCGUCUGGCUCAUAACCAGAUGGCCGUCGGUUCAAAUCCGGCAGGGCCCA